GUAAAUUUUUCAAGCCCCAAGGAAAUCCUCUCAACACAUGGCUAUGAUGCUUCCCCAGUACUCCUGCUCAUGAUCAGAGAUGCACAUAUCGUCAGUCACCAAGGGAGAUGCUUAAUUGGUUAAGGUCGAACAACUGACAAGCAAAUCUGUGGUAUAUUUUCUGUAGCCUAUCU
Long non-coding RNA from Octopus sinensis (East Asian common octopus), 173 nucleotides. RefSeq lists it as uncharacterized. The record is from RefSeq and is a predicted model, not a curated record. The transcript is spliced from 3 exons. NCBI's taxonomy places the organism in Eukaryota, Metazoa, Mollusca, Cephalopoda, Octopoda, Octopodidae.